This 520-nucleotide ribosomal RNA is filed under the name Boana gladiator. Its description in RNAcentral is "Hypsiboas gladiator partial 16S ribosomal RNA". It matches the Rfam family "Bacterial large subunit ribosomal RNA", at positions 1834 to 2553 of the family's 2925-position model. Lineage: Eukaryota; Metazoa; Chordata; Amphibia; Anura; Hylidae. The record is from RNAcentral.
UCUUGACAAAUAUAAGAGGUCCAGCCUGCCCAGUGAUUAGUUCAACGGCCGCGGUAUCCUAACCGUGGAAGGUAGCGUAAUCACUUGUUCUUUAAAUGAGGACUAGUAUGAAUGGCACCACGAGGGUUACACUGUCUCCUUUUUUUAAUCAGUGAAACUAAUUUUCCCGUGAAGAAGCGGGAAUUUUUUUAUAAGACGAGAAGACCCUAUGGAGCUUUAAACAAAUUAACACUUGCUGCCCAAAAUAACUUUUUCCAGAAACACACCACACAGCAUAGCACUAUGAUUAAUAGUUUUCGAUUGGGGUGAUCACGGAGUAAAAAAUAACCUCCAUGCUGAAAGGGGGGCCCCCCCCCGAGCAAAAAGCCACAACUUUAAGCACUAAAAAAUUAACAUUAAUUGACCCAAUAUUUUGAUCAACGAACCAAGUUACCCUAGGGAUAACAGCGCAAUCCACUUCAAGAGCUCCUAUCGACAAGUGGGUUUACGACCUCGAUGUUGGAUCAGGGUAUCCUAGUGG